CUGAGAAACGCUACUACAUCUACGGAAGGCAGCAGGCGCGUAAAUUACCCAAUCCUGACUCAGGGAGGUGGUGACAAGAUAUAACACCGCCCAAUCAUUGUGAUUGUAGUGAGGGUAUUCCAAACCGAACCACUAGUACGAUUAGAGGG
This 149-nucleotide ribosomal RNA is filed under the name uncultured rumen protozoa. RNAcentral's name for it is "partial 18S ribosomal RNA". It matches the Rfam family "Eukaryotic small subunit ribosomal RNA", at positions 396 to 555 of the family's 1831-position model. The record is from RNAcentral.